This 854-nucleotide small RNA is filed under the name Caenorhabditis elegans. Its description in RNAcentral is "Unclassified non-coding RNA K01A11.9". Lineage: Eukaryota; Metazoa; Nematoda; Chromadorea; Rhabditida; Rhabditidae. The record is from RNAcentral.
GAAGCUCUUCUAUUAUCGAUUGCCGUCGGAAGUCGUCCACUAGUCGAGUUUGUUCUCGUACUUUUCGUCGAUGCACCAUACCUUGAAAGAAGUGGUAAGUGUGAGGAAGUUUGUAUUAAAGCGCAUUUGCAUCACACUAAUUUCAGGAUCUGCUAAUUCUCCACAUUUUCCACCACAUAUGACUCCACUGAUGCUGGCAUGCAUUUUGAAUAAUUUUUCGAUUGUUCAGUGUCUUAUAACUAGAGGACAUUGUAUUCAGAUACCACAUUUCAUUACUUGUGAGUUCAAACAUCAUAUUUGACGCGCAAACAUUGCAAAAGAGCGAACAUGCGUCGGUAGGACCGAAUGCACCAUAUUCUACGCGCAAAAAUGGUAAAGUGUUGCAGGUGAAUGCAAAACCUGCAAACGGGAAACCGUAACAACCCACUCAUCAACUCGCCUCGUCGACGUCAUGCGUGCACUGUCCUCUGAAGCCUACCUGUGGCUGGCAACUGAUGACGUGUUCGCUGCCACGUGUGCUGUCGCCCGAGACCUUCAACAAUUGGCGAGCGAUGAUCAGCUGGAAUACGUGGAAACCUAUCGAGACCUCGAGAUGAAUGUGCAACGGUUUUUGUGCAGAAUUUCAGAUCAAGCAUGGAGAGUCGACGAGUUCAAUAUGAUGGUUGCUAAUGUAAGAAUUUGUGUUAAAUUUUAGAUAUUGGGAGAAUUUAAAUUGAAUUUCAGAGAAACUACUGCCCGGAAAGAAUGACUGAAAUCUCAUCACCGCGUCUUCAAAUGGCUAUGGAUUCUCAAAUGAGACAAUUCACGUGCUCCACCAAUUCACAGACAACUAUUAAGUCUGUCUUCAGAUCAGG